UUCUUAACAUUACUGGUACUCAGCUGGUAGUUCAGUGGCGUCGACUCUCCUCUUGAGACUUCGAGGGAGGAGGUGGUUCUAGAUCCCUCCUGUCCUCCUCACUAGACACCUUCGUUCCUUUCUCUCUAGCUACCUCAAACGACACCGCCGUAAAUCGCGCCAUCGACCCCAGCGGCACAACUUCGAUUUGUCGCACUUCCCCUCCGGCUUGUGGCUACGAUCCUCGUAGUCACGCCUAGAGUUGAGCUAGUUUCGAUGGUACGAUCUAGUACGGCUGGUACAUGCCGGAUACUCAAAGAACGCCCGUCUUAUAAAACGUGUUGACUCCCGGAACCGUACACUGUAGCUUCUGACAUAUCUGACGAAGUUGCGGUUCUACUGCUGGCUACGACUAAAACGUCUGUUUUAACGGGCUGAGUUCCUCUCGAGUUUCCCUUGCUGAGUGGCCUAUGUAUGCAAACCGAAAUAAGGACAUGUUCCCCGACGUCGUGUUCUCGGACGACGACGACAGGGCCGUCUCUAACUCUUAGAAGUCACAAACUACUCCCCAUUUGUACUACCACUAAUGGAGUUGACGAACGAUAUAAAGACGAACAAGGGUGGGUUAAUAGUACAGUCCUGAUUCGGGGAGUACUCCUCUACCUGCCGCCUUCCCGAUCAUCCUUCUCUUGUUAGGCGUUAGUCGUUAAACCUGUUCAAGUACCUCAGGUCAUAGUAGUCCAGGUGGGUCUUUUCGUCGUUACCCUUCCACUUCUCUACGGUCGGAUGACCGUUGUGCUAAGCAGUCAUGUAGAGGGUUGCCAGGUACAGGCUCUUAAAGUAUGACAAUACAGUGCCACGCAGACGGCUUUACGGCCUCCCUGUGGGAGCGUCCGAUAGACACGUAGGAACACGUUUACAAGGUGACUUAAACGGACUCUCAAAUAGACUACAGGCCUGCAACCGCCAUAAGAGAUGACGACGCCCCCUAGAGCUACUUCUACAAGAUGCAAAAAGGUUAAUAUUUCACGACGCUCACGACCUAGAUUUUCUUACACGAGUGGACUCACUACCGGUAUAAGUCCGAUAGAUGUUGGUCCUCGACUACUUUAUGGACUCGUAGUUUAGUCCGUAGUAACUAGCCCAAGGUUCCCUUUAGCCCUUCGACUUAGUCGAUCUCUGUGAGCUGGACUCACCUUCGAGUUUAACACUGCUACGACUACCUUAUCACUGCCACAUGUUUCUUCAGGAGGACGAAGGGUUUGACUUCGUGGAGGAACCGUUCAAGGUCGAAAGAUCUUCCCUAAAGAAACAAACCUCUAGUCUACAUCUCUCCAAAGACUCUCGAUUAUUCUCACACGACCUCUGCGACAGUCCUAAACAGUAGCCACCCUCUUUACCUAAAGUUGUCGACGACUCAGAAUACGCCGUCAACGCCUUCCACUUCUAUACCACGUUUAGGCUGCGUUCGGUUCUUUUGGACCCUCAAGAAAGUUUCCGGUAAUCCUUUAGUAGCCACUACCGCGGCCUCGCGGAGUAGAAUUCGCCAGGGACAGCUAGCUGAAGCCUCGUACGGGCUCUCUCAAGCACCUACUUUAUCUGCGUCAGCGCCCGUUCGAGCUAAGCGAGUUCGACGUGCCAGUUAACUCGGUUGAGGGAGGCAAACAACGUCUCGAUUCACGUGAACUCCUCGACACGGAAACCAGCUGACCGGACGCAACCCUCCAAUAAGCUCUUCCCGACUCGAAGCACCCCCCUGACUUUAUAGAGUUCGAAUAACUUCUGUUGGAGCCCGAGUAGCUGUAUACCAUACUAGUGGAGUAUUCGUAACCCGCCAAUAGGUAGCACAAGUUACUAGGUUACGAUUAUCUGUAUUGCUAGGUUCUACCGCGCGACGGAACAGAACACAGCGAAGUAUAGUAGACAGGUGUCGGCGAGGAAGAAGGACCUUCUCGUGAACCAUAGUUUUAGCGUGUGUACUGAGUCGACUUACUUCAGCGUGAGGUAGGACUGCAGCUGCAACCUUAUUUUCGGCUUACCGUUGCGCGACAGCUACCGGUAUGAUUAUCCGGGCAUGGACAGGAAAACAGGUAACUUCCUGGGACUAGUUAUUACGUAUGGAGUAGUUUGUUCAGCCACGUUUAGUUGUUACCUCGGUGGAGGCCACACGUAACGACGGUUGAAUUCAACUUACGACGACGAGAGGAACACAAUACCAAAAGAAGAAUAACAAUGAUAAUAUUAAAUAGUGUUCCAAAUGGUGUACAAAAAAUGGAAGAAGUUUAAUAAUAAACGCACGCAUGUUAGCCAACGUAUUAAAAAAUCUCCCUACUUAGGAAUGAGAACGACAUGUAGAAUAACAUAAGGAGGCUCACUUCUUGAAACGAUAAUUGACCACAUAGUACAAAUGAAAAAUAGUAAUAAAUCAGAACACAAAACAUACAAGUUGUUCGAAUAGAGUUGAACCC
This 2447-nucleotide ribosomal RNA is filed under the name Triticum aestivum (bread wheat). Its description in RNAcentral is "partial small subunit ribosomal RNA". Lineage: Eukaryota; Viridiplantae; Streptophyta; Magnoliopsida; Poales; Poaceae. The record is from RNAcentral.